Molecule: ribosomal RNA, 255 nt
Filed under: uncultured bacterium
Lineage: Bacteria
Description: partial 16S ribosomal RNA
Rfam family: Bacterial small subunit ribosomal RNA
Source: RNAcentral
UACGUAGGGGGCGAGCGUUGUCCGGAGUUACUGGGCGUAAAGCGUACGCAGGCGGUCUGCUAAGUUUGGAGUGACAGUUGGUGGCUUAACUGCCAAAGUGCUUCGAAAACUGACAGACUUGAGGGCUUCAGAGGGACACGGAAUUCCGGGUGGAGUGGUGAAAUGCGUAGAGAUCCGGAGGAACACCAAAGGCGAAGGCAGUGUCCUGGGGAGUACCUGACGCUCGAGGUGCGAAAGCCAGGGGAGCGAACGGGG